This 255-nucleotide ribosomal RNA is filed under the name uncultured prokaryote. RNAcentral's name for it is "partial 16S ribosomal RNA". It matches the Rfam family "Bacterial small subunit ribosomal RNA", at positions 524 to 777 of the family's 1533-position model. The record is from RNAcentral.
UACGGAGGAUGCAAGCGUUAUCCGGAUUUAUUGGGUUUAAAGGGUGCGCAGGUUGUUUGAUAAGUCAGUGGUGAAAGUCUGUCGCUUAACGGUAGGAUUGCCAUUGAUACUGUUAGACUUGAAUAUGGAUGAGGUAGGCGGAAUGUGUAGUGUAGCGGUAAAAUGCAUAGAUAUUACACAGAACACCGAUUGCGAAGGCAGCUUACUAAUCCAUCAUUGACGCUGAGGCACGAAAGCGUGGGGAGUCAAACAGGA